Molecule: long non-coding RNA, 364 nt
Filed under: Gossypium raimondii (Peruvian cotton)
Lineage: Eukaryota; Viridiplantae; Streptophyta; Magnoliopsida; Malvales; Malvaceae
Description: long non-coding RNA (GRAI_LNC007153)
Source: RNAcentral
UAGAGCCCAAAUAUGCCCGGGCCCAAUAAAAUUAACUCUAGCCCAAUAACCCUUACAAAACAUAAGCUAAACCCAGACCCAACUACACCUGAAAUGGCCCAAACACAAAAACUUCAGAAACCCUAAGUAGCCGCCACCCUCAAGCGCCCCAGCAGUCUCCAGCCACCGCAGGUUUCGGCCUCCACGCAUGCCGUUUCUCCGCAAACACCGCUCCUCAAGCACGUACCUGCAACAAGCGAAAGAGAAGAGCAAAAAAAUCGGGCCAACAAACAACCGAGUAGAUUUAUUAGGAUUUAUUUUUCUUUCUCUUUUCUUUCCCAUUUUCGGCUAUAAAAGAGCCGAUUAAGCACUGUAAAUGGGGGAU